Molecule: long non-coding RNA, 902 nt
Organism: Silurus meridionalis
Lineage: Eukaryota; Metazoa; Chordata; Actinopteri; Siluriformes; Siluridae
Exons: 3
Source: RefSeq, a predicted model, not a curated record
UCUUACUGCAGCGGCCAUGUUCGAAAAGUUUUCUGUAACUAAGCAUAAUGAUCUGAGGACUAGAGCCUCCAGAGGCUCGCUCACACUGAGACACAUCAGCAACACACAUGCAGCAGAGAGGAAGUGAUGAGCUCAACAUAGGAGGUGCUCUUCCUUUUCUUUCAGAUCUGAUUUAGAGUCAGGCGAAUGAGCUCAGAAUCAAAACACAGUGCUCUUUAUGGUCAAAAUGAAACUGCUCAGGCAACCAAAAUGGCUGCGACCAGGACAUCCUCGGGGUUCAGGUUUAAAGCUGGUAAAGUUUCGAAAGAAGUCCAGCAUUUCUCUGAUAUUUCUGAUAACGUUCUACAAGGAAGUGCUCAACGACAGGGCUUCACUAGGCAGGGUGAAAAGAACACGGAUCACACCGUGCUCACUCUCUCCUUCCUGUCUGACUUCCUCUGCAGAACAGACGGUGUAACAUACUUAACACCUUUCAAGCCUUCACAAGUGUUUAACCAGAGCUUCGCCUUUCUGACGUCAAGCCAGCUGAUUCACACUGAAAUUAUUUAGAACUGCAACGUACCGUAAUAUGGUUUACUGCAGAACACAGGGUUGCGUUUGUUGUGUUCGCAACUAAGCACUAGAUUGCACAGCAUAGACGUGCCUACACUGAAAGCUUUUACUGGGCUUAACAACAAACCAUCGAGUCUUCCUCAUCACUGGAUGAAGAGCUGACUGAAAAAUCACGUUUCGAUUUUUGGAGAAGUGGAGCGAUGUUCAAGAUACACAGACUCACACAAAUGACUCACCGUCAACGUCCCUCUGACUGAUGGACAGCAUGGAGACACUCUCUCGGAGCGGAAGAGUCAUAGACUGGCGGCUGCGUCGGAAUGGCCGAUACCGUCUCGAUGUCUAAAAAAGAA